Molecule: ribosomal RNA, 499 nt
Filed under: uncultured bacterium
Lineage: Bacteria
Description: bacterial SSU rRNA
Rfam family: Bacterial small subunit ribosomal RNA
Source: RNAcentral
GAUGAACGCUAGCGGCAGGCUUAAUACAUGCAAGUCGAGGGGCAGCACGGUUAGCAAUAACUGGUGGCGACCGGCGCACGGGUGCGUAACACGUAUGCAAUCUACCUUAAACAGGGGGAUAGCCUUUCGAAAGAGAGAUUAAUACCCCGUAAUAAAUUGAACGGCAUCGUUUGAUUUUGAAAGCUCCGGCGGUUUGAGAUGAGUAUGCGUCUGAUUAGCUAGUUGGUGAGGUAACGGCUCACCAAGGCGACGAUCAGUAGGGGAUCUGAGAGGACUAACCCCCACACUGGUACUGAGACACGGACCAGACUCCUACGGGAGGCAGCAGUAAGGAAUAUUGGUCAAUGGAGGCAACUCUGAACCAGCCAUGCCGCGUGCAGGAUGACGGCCCUAUGGGUUGUAAACUGCUUUUAUACAAGAGAAAACCCUGGUACGUGUACCAGGUUGAUAGUAUUGUAAGAAUAAGCAUCGGCUAACUUGUGCCAGCAGCCGCGGUAAU